UUAAAAAGCUCGUAGUUGGAUCUCAACAGCCUUGAAAGCGGUUAACUUUGUAGUUUUACUGCUUUAUAGGCUGUGCUUUUGCUGGAGGUUUAGGGGUGCUCUUGAUCGAGUGUCUCUGGAUGCCAGCAGGUUUACUUUGAAAAAAUUAGAGUGCUCAAAGCAGGCUAAAAUGCCUGAAUAUUCGUGCAUGGAAUAAUAGAAUAGGAUGUCGAUCCUAUUUUGUUGGUUUUCGGGACUCGACAUAAUGAUAAAUAGGGACAGUCGGGGGCAUUUGUAUUCAAACGACAGAGGUGAAAUUCUUGGACCGUUUGAAGACUAUACUACUGCGAAAGCAUUUGCCAAGAAUGUUUUCAUUACUCAAGAACGA
RNAcentral lists this ribosomal RNA (367 nucleotides) under uncultured eukaryote. RNAcentral describes it as "SSU rRNA". It matches the Rfam family "Eukaryotic small subunit ribosomal RNA", at positions 619 to 986 of the family's 1831-position model. The record is from RNAcentral.